UUGAAAGGGAAACGAUUGAAGUCAGUCGUACCAGCGGAUAAUCAGCCUUUAGAUGCGAUUUUGUGGAGCGUGAAGAGCUAAUCGCCUUCAUGCCUGUAUAUUCGUGUACUUGGGGUGUACUUAUUCGUGUGGUAAGUUAACAUCAAUUUUGGUUGUCAUAAAAUGAUUGGAGGAAUGUAGCUUCGAUCUCGUAUUGAAGUGUUAUAGCCUUUGGUAGAUGUGACGAUCGGGAUUGAGGAUUGCAACGGAUACCCUUCGGGGCUACCUGUCUGAUCUCUGAUUGUUGCUCUGGUGCCGAAAGCUUGCUUACGGUUAUCAAAGUCGAUGGUCAAUAGGUUAGAAUGGGUUAAAUUCGUUAAGGAUGUUGACGUA
RNAcentral lists this ribosomal RNA (372 nucleotides) under uncultured Glomus. Its description in RNAcentral is "eukaryotic LSU rRNA". The record is from RNAcentral. Lineage: Eukaryota; Fungi; Glomeromycota; Glomeromycetes; Glomerales; Glomeraceae.